GAUCACCAUUUCCCAGUGUGUCCACAAUUUCAGCAUCCAUGCUUUUCUUAUUUACAAAGCAACGCACUAAGACAGCAAUACCAACUCCAGCUUCAAGUACAAGCCAAACAAGACUAAGGGCCAUUAGAGAAAUAAAAGUUACAUAAUUUUUGUACCCAACACAAUUGUUAAGCCACCGGCAAUGGUGAUCAAAACCAUCAACGCAUUUAUCACAACUUCGACAAUGUUUGCUGUAUUUGCGUACCUCAGCAUUGCACAAUGUACAAAACAAAGCAUCUUCACCAGUGCCCUGUUGUUCAGCUGCACCUUCCUGUUUGCGGCAAUCUUCAUGAACAAACAAUGCACAGAAGAUUCCUCCAAAGUUACAAGAAGAUUUUCU
This 379-nucleotide unclassified non-coding RNA is filed under the name Hevea brasiliensis (rubber tree). The record is from RNAcentral. Lineage: Eukaryota; Viridiplantae; Streptophyta; Magnoliopsida; Malpighiales; Euphorbiaceae.